Molecule: ribosomal RNA, 447 nt
Filed under: Granulicatella elegans
Lineage: Bacteria; Bacillati; Bacillota; Bacilli; Lactobacillales; Carnobacteriaceae
Description: bacterial SSU rRNA
Rfam family: Bacterial small subunit ribosomal RNA
Source: RNAcentral
GACGAACGCGGGCGGCGUGCCUAAUACAUGCAAGUCGAACGAGAGCGACCGGUGCUUGCACUGGUCAAUCUAGUGGCGAACGGGUGAGUAACGCGUGGGUAACCUGCCCAUCAGAGGGGGAUAACAUUCGGAAACGGAUGCUAAAACCGCAUAGGUUCUACAGUCGCAUGACUGAAGAAGGAAAAGAGGCUUCGGCUUCUGCUGAUGGAUGGACCCGCGGUGCAUUAGCUAGUUGGUGAGGUAACGGCUCACCAAGGCCGUGAUGCAUAGCCGACCUGAGAGGGUGAUCGGCCACAUUGGGACUGAGACACGGCCCAAACUCCUACGGGAGGCAGCAGUAGGGAAUCUUCCGCAAUGGACGCAAGUCUGACGGAGCAACGCCGCGUGAGUGAAGAAGGAUUUCGGUUCGUAAAACUCUGUUGUUAGAGAAGAACAGCGCAUAGAGUU